Molecule: long non-coding RNA, 794 nt
Filed under: Homo sapiens (human)
Lineage: Eukaryota; Metazoa; Chordata; Mammalia; Primates; Hominidae
Description: HSALNT0159816
Source: RNAcentral
UUUGUAUUUUGAGUAGAGAUGGGUUUUCACCGUGUUAGACAGGACGGUCUUGAUCUCCUGACCUCGUGAUCCACCUGCCUGGGCCUCCCAAAGUGCUGGGAUUACAGUCGUGAGCCACGGUGCCCGGCCAAUUUUUAUUUUUUAUAUUUUGAGACAGGGUGUUGGUCUGAUGGAGUGCAGUAGUAUGAUCAUAGCUCACUGCAGCCUUGUCCUCCUGGAUUCAAGUGAUCCCCCUCACCUCAGCCUCCCGAGUAGCUGGAACUACAGGUGUGUGCCACCAUGUCUGGCUAAUUUUUCUGUUUUUUGUAGAGAUGGGAUUUCGUCAUGUUGCCCAGGCUGGUCUCGAACUCCUGAGCUCGAGCAAUCUGCCCACCUCGGCCUCCUGAAGUGCUGGGAUUGUAGGCAUGAGCCACCGCGCAUGGCCUGAAGUUCUUAUUCUGACAGAGGACGGACAGAAGGAGCAAGGGGAGCCCCUAGGAAACAAACAAUGCCAGUGUUCGCUGGGUUGCUUUGAACACCCCUGCUCAGACUGAAUGGGAAUACUGAUAAACACGAAAACAUGCUCAACUUCUCUAAUAAUCAAAGAAAUACAUAUUAAAAUGAGAUGCCACUGUUUCUUCUAUCACUGGGACUGAAAUGGAAAGUAUUCAUCAUAUCCUUUGCUGGUGAGAAAGCCGGACGAAGAAAGAUCAGAGAGAGCGCCACCCCCAUUCCCCACAGCGUUCCAGCUCUGGCCCUGCUCUGUGGCUGCCCCUCAAGCCUGAAAAUCACCUCAUAUUCUUACAAUAAAUCCC